GACGAACGCUGGCGGCGUGCUUAACACAUGCAAGUCGAACGGAAAGGCCCUGCUUUUGUGGGGUGCUCGAGUGGCGAACGGGUGAGUAACACGUGAGUAACCUGCCCUUGACUUUGGGAUAACUUCAGGAAACUGGGGCUAAUACCGGAUAGGAGCUCCUGCUGCAUGGUGGGGGUUGGAAAGUUUCGGCGGUUGGGGAUGGACUCGCGGCUUAUCAGCUUGUUGGUGGGGUAGUGGCUUACCAAGGCUUUGACGGGUAGCCGGCCUGAGAGGGUGACCGGCCACAUUGGGACUGAGAUACGGCCCAGUCUCCUACGGGAGGCAGCAGUGGGGAAUAUUGCACAAUGGGCGGAAGCCUGAUGCAGCAACGCCGCGUGCGUGAUGACGGCCUUCGGGUUGUAAACCGCUUUCGCCUGUGACGAAGCGUGAGUGACGGUAAUGGGUAAAGAAGCACCGGCUAACUACGUG
This 468-nucleotide ribosomal RNA is filed under the name uncultured bacterium. RNAcentral describes it as "partial 16S ribosomal RNA". It matches the Rfam family "Bacterial small subunit ribosomal RNA", at positions 28 to 507 of the family's 1533-position model. The record is from RNAcentral.